CCAUAAGGCUUCGCCUUUGCGUUGAGUUUUCCCGCGAGGGAAUCCUCCAAACCUCUGGGCGUACGUCGUGCCUGAACCGCAACACAAUGCGAUUAGGGCUCUCGACGUGCGCCGAAAACCGUCAA
RNAcentral lists this unclassified non-coding RNA (125 nucleotides) under uncultured Leotiomycetes. RNAcentral describes it as "sequence contains ITS2". The record is from RNAcentral. Lineage: Eukaryota; Fungi; Ascomycota; Leotiomycetes.